CCUACGGGUGGCUGCAGUGGGGAAUAUUGGACAAUGGGCGAAAGCCUGAUCCAGCCAUGCCGCGUGUGUGAAGAAGGCCUUCGGGUUGUAAAGCACUUUCAGUGGGGAAGAAAGCCUUGGGGCUAAUACCCUCGAGGAAGGACAUCACCCACAGAAGAAGCACCGGCUAACUCCGUGCCAGCAGCCGCGGUAAUACGGAGGGUGCGCGCGUUAAUCGGAAUUACUGGGCGUAAAGCGCGCGUAGGCGGUCUGAUAAGCCGGUUGUGAAAGCCCCGGGCUCAACCUGGGAACGGCAUCCGGAACUGUCAGGCUAGAGUGCAGGAGAGGAAGGUAGAAUUCCCGGUGUAGCGGUGAAAUGCGUAGAGAUCGGGAGGAAUACCAGUGGCGAAGGCGGCCUUCUGGACUGACACUGACGCUGAGGUGCGAAAGCGUGGGUAGCAAACAGGAUUAGAUACCCUGGUAGUC
This 465-nucleotide ribosomal RNA is filed under the name Vreelandella stevensii. RNAcentral's name for it is "partial 16S ribosomal RNA". It matches the Rfam family "Bacterial small subunit ribosomal RNA", at positions 338 to 795 of the family's 1533-position model. Lineage: Bacteria; Pseudomonadati; Pseudomonadota; Gammaproteobacteria; Oceanospirillales; Halomonadaceae. The record is from RNAcentral.